RNAcentral lists this ribosomal RNA (250 nucleotides) under uncultured bacterium. RNAcentral's name for it is "partial 16S ribosomal RNA". It matches the Rfam family "Bacterial small subunit ribosomal RNA", at positions 524 to 773 of the family's 1533-position model. The record is from RNAcentral.
UACGUAGGGGGCAAGCGUUGUCCGGAAUCAUUGGGCGUAAAGGGCGCGUAGGCGGAUAUUUAAGUCUGGUGUGAAAACUCAGAGCUCAACUCUGAGACUGCAUCGGAAACUGGGUAUCUUGAGGACAGGAGAGGAAAGUGGAAUUCCACGUGUAGCGGUGAAAUGCGUAGAUAUGUGGAGGAACACCAGUGGCGAAGGCGACUUUCUGGACUGUAACUGACGCUGAGGCGCGAAAGCGUGGGGAGCAAAC